Salvelinus fontinalis (brook trout) is the source of this 956-nucleotide long non-coding RNA. RefSeq lists it as uncharacterized. The record is from RefSeq and is a predicted model, not a curated record. Lineage: Eukaryota; Metazoa; Chordata; Actinopteri; Salmoniformes; Salmonidae. The transcript is spliced from 4 exons.
ACAACCAGUUCUUUGUGAUACGAAUCUAGCAGUUAUGUAAAAGGUAUCACAUAAAGAAAGCUCCCAGUUUACUUUCAUGUUGUACUUUUGAAGAUAACAAACCAUGAAAAGUGCAAGAAUGUACUUUUCUUUUCUCUUCCAGCGAAGCCCUGGAUCUUUCCUUGUUCCAGAUGUUCAUCAUUGAUCAGACAAGGAUGUGUGGCCAGAGGAUGGAGGUGUGGAGUGAUGUCGUUGAUGCCACACCCUGGCAACUACAGGAGACCAUCUCUAUCAGCAAAGCCCUGGAUCUUUCCUUGUUCCAGAUGUUCAUCUUUGACCAGACAAGGAUGUGUGGCCAGAGGAUGGAGGUGUGGAGUGAUGUCGUUGAUGCCACACCCUGGCAACUACAGGAGACCAUCUCUAUCAUGUUAAGGGUUCAAACCGUCACGCGCACGCACGCACACACACUUCCAAAGAACUUCUGAGGAAAGUGGAGGACCAGUUGUGUUUUCACUUUCACAGUUCCAUGCAAAUAGGCACAAAGAGUUCUGAGUGAUUGGUUUUAUGGUGUGUGAAGCACUGGUGUGCAAUGCACUGUCUGUGAUGACUACUUCAAGCUUGUGACUCUAGAAACUUAUUGGAUGCAUUUGCAGUUCAGUUUGGUUGUUUCCGAUUAUUUUGUGCCCAAUAAAUAUCAGCACUCCUACUAAAGUUUGAAUUUUAAAUAUUGGGGGGGAAAAUGUAUUACUUGUUAAACUAAAUCUCUUUCUCUGAGCAAUUGUAUUAGUGUAAGAUAGAUUAAUUUCCAAAUGUUUUGCUCAGUAUUUUAAUUACUUAUUUGAUACAGUCAUUAAUGCUCGUCUUUAUCAAGGGUGUCAAGUGUGUUAAUCUGGUUUAAUGACCUGUUAAAUGCCCCUCCAAUACAGUCACCACAAAGACACCCAUCAAUCAAAAAUAAUGAUGUAAGAAAACACCUG